Molecule: transfer RNA, 72 nt
Filed under: Patiria miniata (bat star)
Lineage: Eukaryota; Metazoa; Echinodermata; Asteroidea; Valvatida; Asterinidae
Description: tRNA-Ala
Rfam family: tRNA
About the family: Transfer RNA (tRNA) molecules are approximately 80 nucleotides in length. Their secondary structure includes four short double-helical elements and three loops (D, anti-codon, and T loops). Further hydrogen bonds mediate the characteristic L-shaped molecular structure. tRNAs have two regions of fundamental functional importance: the anti-codon, which is responsible for specific mRNA codon recognition, and the 3' end, to which the tRNAs corresponding amino acid is attached (by aminoacyl-tRNA synthetases). tRNAs cope with the degeneracy of the genetic code in two manners: having more than one tRNA (with a specific anti-codon) for a particular amino acid; and 'wobble' base-pairing, i.e. permitting non-standard base-pairing at the 3rd anti-codon position.
Source: Rfam by way of RNAcentral
GGCUGGAUAGCUCAGUUGGUAGAGCACCAGAAUAGCAAUCCGGAGGUCGCAGGUUCAAACCCGCUCCAGUCA